This 510-nucleotide long non-coding RNA is filed under the name Glycine max (soybean). RNAcentral describes it as "long non-coding RNA (GMAX_LNC003218)". Lineage: Eukaryota; Viridiplantae; Streptophyta; Magnoliopsida; Fabales; Fabaceae. The record is from RNAcentral.
UACAGAGCUUCUUCCUAUUCCAAGCACGUAAGACAAAAUAGGAAGAAGCCUCAGUCGUUGUAGACCAUUAAAAUCCUAUAGCAGAAGUGCUAAACCAACAAAGCCUUAAAUUCAUUACAAAACAUCACAGUUAAGAGCAAUUAAAGAGCGAGGAAGAUACGAGAGCCAAGGUUGAAUUUAUCCAUAUAUCAUGAGUUAAAAUAUGUUUAGACACUAACAACUUCCUAAAAACUCUUAAAUAAAAAUUGAUAAUACAUAUGCAGCUUUGAGACUACACUUGAUGCAUAGCCUCCCCUUGAGGUGGCUCCGGCUGCUCGGGAGCGACCCUUGCCAGGGAGUGAUUGUGGUGGAUGGCCUUGACCAUCAUUUUACAUGUGGUAGUGAUGAAAAUGGCGUAGAGAACAAACCCCACUUCAAUGACUAGGAUGCGGCCGAGCUUGUAAUCAAUGAAAUCAUGCUUGUUGUCUCUCCGGCGCCAUUCCGGAGAGGCCAUGGGGGAGGGAGGAAUGA